Molecule: ribosomal RNA, 415 nt
Filed under: uncultured bacterium
Lineage: Bacteria
Description: bacterial SSU rRNA
Rfam family: Bacterial small subunit ribosomal RNA
Source: RNAcentral
UGCCAGCAGCCGCGGUAAUACGUAGGGUGCGAGCGUUAAUCGGAAUUACUGGGCGUAAAGCGUGCGCAGGCGGUUGUGUAAGACAGGUGUGAAAUCCCCGGGCUUAACCUGGGAACUGCGCUUGUGACUGCACGGCUAGAGUAUGGCAGAGGGGGGUGGAAUUCCACGUGUAGCAGUGAAAUGCGUAGAGAUGUGGAGGAACACCGAUGGCGAAGGCAGCCCCCUGGGCCAAUACUGACGCUCAUGCACGAAAGCGUGGGGAGCAAACAGGAUUAGAUACCCUGGUAGUCCACGCCCUAAACGAUGUCGACUAGGUGUUCGGUGAGGAGACUCAUUGAGUACCGCAGCUAACGCGUGAAGUCGACCGCCUGGGGAGUACGGUCGCAAGAUUAAAACUUAAAGGAAUUGGCGGGGG